UCCGUAGGUGGAUAAUUAAGUCAGAGGUGAAAUCCUGCAGCUCAACUGUAGAAUUGCCUUUGAUACUGGUUAUCUUGAAUUAUUAUGAAGUAGUUAGAAUAUGUAGUGUAGCGGUGAAAUGCAUAGAUAUUACAUAGAAUACCAAUUGCGAAGGCAGAUUACUAAUAAUAUAUUGACACUGAUGGACGAAAGCGUGGGGAGCGAACAGGAUUAGAUACCCUGGUAGUCC
This 229-nucleotide ribosomal RNA is filed under the name uncultured bacterium. RNAcentral's name for it is "partial 16S ribosomal RNA". It matches the Rfam family "Bacterial small subunit ribosomal RNA", at positions 568 to 796 of the family's 1533-position model. The record is from RNAcentral.